This 470-nucleotide ribosomal RNA is filed under the name Enterobacter sp. RNAcentral describes it as "bacterial SSU rRNA". It matches the Rfam family "Bacterial small subunit ribosomal RNA", at positions 65 to 525 of the family's 1533-position model. The record is from RNAcentral. Lineage: Bacteria; Pseudomonadati; Pseudomonadota; Gammaproteobacteria; Enterobacterales; Enterobacteriaceae.
AGCGGUAGCACAGAGAGCUUGCUCUCCGGUGACGAGUGGCGGACGGGUGAGUAAUGUCUGGGAAACUGCCUGAUGGAGGGGGAUAACUACUGGAAACGGUAGCUAAUACCGCAUAACGUCGCAAGACCAAAGAGGGGGACCUUCGGGCCUCUUGCCAUCAGAUGUGCCCAGAUGGGAUUAGCUAGUAGGUGGGGUAACGGCUCACCUAGGCGACCAUCCCUAGCUGGUCUGAGAGGAUGACCAGCCAUACUGGAACUGAGACACGGUCCAGACUCCUACGGGAGGCAGCAGUGGGGAAUAUUGCACAAUGGGCGCAAGCCUGAUGCAGCCAUGCCGCGUGUAUGAAGAAGGCCUUCGGGUUGUAAAGUACUUUCAGCGGGGAGGAAGGUGUUGUGGUUAAUAACCGCAGCAAUUGACGUUACCCGCAGAAGAAGCACCGGCUAACUCCGUGCCAGCACGCGCGGUAUAUA